This 76-nucleotide microRNA precursor is filed under the name Cajanus cajan (pigeon pea). RNAcentral's name for it is "miRNA gene-KK1_050350". Lineage: Eukaryota; Viridiplantae; Streptophyta; Magnoliopsida; Fabales; Fabaceae. The record is from RNAcentral.
GGGUCCGACAUAAAUUUUAACAUCUACGUCAGCUAAGCAUUGUGUCCGACGUAGAUGUUAAAAUUUACGUCGGACC